AGGGGGCUUCGGGCCAGGAACCGCCCAUGUGACCCACGAAGCACACCUGAGCAGAGACAGACCUUCUAGAUUUCUGUUCCUGGAGCUCAUGUCUCGAGACAACGACAAACGGACCGAUCUAAAUAUUCUGCAAUGUCUAGGGUCCACUGCAGGUUUAAAGACAGAAGCGCUCGGCUCACAGCCACCUCCCAGCGCCCCCAGCAAGGGCCCACCAGGGGUGAAAAUAAGGUCUCAAUCAACAGUCUGCACACCAAGGUCUCCUCGUAAUCCUUUUUAAUAAUAAUCAGCUCACACGGCUACAACCAGUAUGAAAGCAAUAAUCCCGGACUUUGUAUAAAUUAACAAGCCAAGAAUCAAGGUGACACUACCAAACAAAAGGGCCAAAUGGUAGGACCAAGGAGAGACCGCCACCAAGACAAUGUCUGCAAAAACAUGGAAGUGGGACAGGUGCCACAGCCAGGUGCCACAGCCAGGUGCCACGGCCAGGUGCCCACACACACCAGGUGCCAGAGCCAGGUGAUCACACACACCAAGUACCAUGGCCAGGUGCCACAGCCAGGUGCCCACACACACCAGGUGCCGCAGAAGCUGGGCCACAGGCUUCAGCAAGGCCGGGAUAUAGGAAAAGACCAGCACCGCACAACGGUCCUCAGGAUCCUGGCUCAGAGGAGUGUUUCCUGCAGGCAAUUCCCGUGUCCCCCGCUUCCCACACAGCGAUGCAGAUGGAGGAGCCGUCCCGGCAGACCACGGAACACCCCGCUGUUGUUGUCCCCGGAUGUCCUCCUCCAUGUGCCGCCUGCUUCGCAACUCCGGCCCACCGCAGACACCGGGGCUUGGGGCCCCGCUGAGUCAGGCACAGCACCCAGACCUGGUCCGUCUGGGCGUCUUGUGGCUGCUGAUGUCCACGGUCUGCGGCGGCCCCUGGGCUCUCUGCCGCAUGAUCAUGGGCACUACCAUGUC
Molecule: long non-coding RNA, 960 nt
Organism: Lutra lutra (Eurasian river otter)
Lineage: Eukaryota; Metazoa; Chordata; Mammalia; Carnivora; Mustelidae
Exons: 2
Source: RefSeq, a predicted model, not a curated record